UGAUCUGGUCGGUCCAUCGCAUGGGAAAC
This 29-nucleotide small RNA is filed under the name Bombyx mori (domestic silkworm). Its description in RNAcentral is "ovarian small RNA-32745". Lineage: Eukaryota; Metazoa; Arthropoda; Insecta; Lepidoptera; Bombycidae. The record is from RNAcentral.